GGUGGCUUAGUGGUAGAGCUCUUGCCUUGCAUGCAUGAGGCCCUGGGUUUGAUUCCUCAGUACCA
RNAcentral lists this transfer RNA (65 nucleotides) under Dipodomys ordii (Ord's kangaroo rat). It matches the Rfam family "tRNA". Rfam says of the family: Transfer RNA (tRNA) molecules are approximately 80 nucleotides in length. Their secondary structure includes four short double-helical elements and three loops (D, anti-codon, and T loops). Lineage: Eukaryota; Metazoa; Chordata; Mammalia; Rodentia; Heteromyidae. The record is from Rfam by way of RNAcentral.